This 252-nucleotide long non-coding RNA is filed under the name Ananas comosus (pineapple). RNAcentral describes it as "long non-coding RNA (ACOM_LNC034443)". Lineage: Eukaryota; Viridiplantae; Streptophyta; Magnoliopsida; Poales; Bromeliaceae. The record is from RNAcentral.
GCAUAAUUGCUUCAUACUUAUGCUAAUUACGCUAAGUAGAGAUAUCAUGUUGUAGUAGGUUACAUUAUUUUCACUUACCUUUCGCUUUUCUAUUGUUACUGUCACUGACAUCUUUUGUAGCUUUGGGCCUUGUGGUGCAUUCACUGAAGUCAGUAAUUGCCCACUGGGAACUAUUUUUAAUAGUUCUCACGCCCCUGUUUUAUGGUUUCCUUUUCAGAGCCUUCGGCACCGGCGGAGGCACGGGAUCGCGGC